AUGCCACAAACAGGUGUACACAUGGCAGGUGGAUCUCCUUCCACAUUUUCUGAUUCGUCAGAAUCAGUGCUAGCAUCAUCACCAAUCAUUUCUUCCUCUGCCGCCUCCUCCUCCUCUUGUUCAAACUCGUCUACAUCAAAAUCAUUGCUUAUAUGACCAAUUGGAGGAGAAUGAACCCGCUCCUGCGUCCAAUUACCAUCCAAGUCCAUACUCUCCAUAGUUUGUUGGACCUGCACACCACAAUCUCCUUGAGUACCACCGUCGAAGGACGGCUCCUCAUUCUCAACAUUCUCCAACACCAACUCAGCCAUGCCGACAUUCGAACCUUAGAUGACCCUAUUGUAUCGGGACCGCUCAGCUUGGUUGCACAAGUCCAUCAUCACAUAGUGUGCCCUAUUCUUUCCAAACAUCAAACCUACCCUUUAGUGUGAAAGCAUCGCCAAACUUCAAACUCAAACAGUCACAUAGAGCGCUGAAACUAGGGGGGCCAUCAUACCAUUCCAAUUCCUCAUACAUAUCCUCAAACUUACAAUCAUCUCUCCUAACACUUCCUCCAUAAAAAACUCUUACACCGUAAUCCAUCUACAAAACGAUUUGACAUCCGAUGAUCAACUAACAAAUAUGGUAGUACUAAAUACUAAAUAACUAACUAACUAAGUACAGUAAUAACUAACUAAAUUAUUAACUAAUUCCGACAUAACCAACUAACUUACUAACUACUUACUACAUAACUAACCCUAAACCCUAAAUUAUUAACUAACUAACUAAAAACAUACUUAACUAACAAAAAUAACUAACAAAAAUAGCUAACAAAAAUAACUAACAAAAAUAACUAACAAAAAUGACUAACAAAAAAUAUACCUUAGGCCGCCGGAGGGAGGGGGCAGAGGGCCACCAAGGCCGCUGGAGGGAGGGGCAGGGCGGCCACCAAGGCCCACGGCCACCAGGGAGGGGUGCGGCGAGCGGCGGGCGCGGCGACGUGCAGGGCUACGGGACGGGGCGGGGCGUGCGAAACAGCAGAGAAAGGGAUGGGCGGGGCGGGCCAUUUUGUCAGGGUAUACCCCGCCAUGAUGCGCGGCGGGGUACCCUAGCCCGCCAUGAUGCGUGGCGGGGUACUCUUUGCCACGUACCCCGCCACGUGUCGGACACGUCGGCGGGCCCUCUCCGUAUCCUGCCACGUCAGCAGCAGUAACCUGCCACCAUGCAUGGCGGGGUACUGUGCUUUUGCCACGCCAUGCAUGGUGUCGGGGCCAAACGGCCUAGAUUUAAAAAUAUUUUCAAAAGCGGAUCAAAUUUGUAAUUUGUUUUGAAUUUGGGCUAAAAAUAAAAAAAAAAUUCCCCAGCGGUCGGUGGUUCUUCCCUGCUUGGCUCUCACCCUCGGUCCUAGUCAUGCGACUCAAUUUCAACUUUUCCCUUCAUUUUAGGCUUUUAGCUAUUUCUCUCUGUACAUAUAUGGAGUAGUAGCUACCGUCAUGGAAAAACUUUCUGGGUCCGCCGCAUAGCGAUGGUUACGUGGAAGAAGAAGACCACCUCAGAGGUGAAAGUCGCCGCGAAUAUGCUUCCGGUAAGCUCGAGUUGAUGGCUUCAGUUCAAUGCUAAACUCGGCGUGUGGCUUUUAUAUAUAGGACGAUUCCGGAAAUAAAGUUCCCUAUAUAUUUAUAGGGCUUUUAUAGGGCGUGUGGCUUCAAUGCUAAACUUCCUGGAAUAAAGUUCACUAUCUAUAUAUUUCCACCCUCUAACAAUCUCUCUACAUCUUUUAGACACUCUAGAGAGCUCAACCCACUCUUAGCAAAAAAGAGAAACUAUUGGGGCGUAUUUUUCUAAAAAAAUCUCUAUUCCUAUCACUACAAAGAACUAAAAAUACUUAUAGAGUUGCUCUUAUCAGCCCUUGAUUGUUUGAUUUUUCCAAGAAAAUUCCAUUUGAAAUUCUGAUAUAUCCUUGUCAGCAAGGAUGUGCUACACCAUGUGGGCUGGCCUUUAGCACGAGUCCUCGUCCUUGUCACCUCUGUAGCGCUGGCCGCCCGGCCCAAUAAGCGGCACAUAGGAUAAGGCCGGAGGCCCAACUGAAGUCGGAGCCUGCCCAACCAACCAAACUAUACUGCCUAUUUAAACUAACGAAUCGUUCAAGCGCGUGCGUGC
Molecule: long non-coding RNA, 2139 nt
Filed under: Sorghum bicolor (sorghum)
Lineage: Eukaryota; Viridiplantae; Streptophyta; Magnoliopsida; Poales; Poaceae
Description: long non-coding RNA (SBIC_LNC002014)
Source: RNAcentral